This 443-nucleotide ribosomal RNA is filed under the name uncultured bacterium. RNAcentral's name for it is "partial 16S ribosomal RNA". It matches the Rfam family "Bacterial small subunit ribosomal RNA", at positions 338 to 795 of the family's 1533-position model. The record is from RNAcentral.
CCUACGGGGGGCAGCAGUGGGGAAUAUUGGGCAAUGGGCGCAAGCCUGACCCAGCCACGCCGCGUGAAGGAAGAAGGCUCUCGGGUUGUUAACUUCUUUUAUCCGGGACGCAGCAAGUGACGGUCCCUGCUGAAUAAGCCACGGCUAACUACGGGCCAGCACCCGCUGUAAUACGUAGGUGGCAAGCGUUAUCCGGAUUUACUGGGUGUAAAGGGCGGGUAGGCGGGAAAGCAAGGCAGAUGUGAAAACCAUGGGCUCAACCUGGGGCCUGCAUUUGAAACUGUUUUUCUUGAGUACUGGAGAGGCAGACGGAAUUCGUAGUGUAGCGGUGAAAUGCGUAGAUAUUAGGAGGAACACCAGUGGCGAAGGCGGUCUGCUGGACAGCAACUGACGCUGAGGCGCGAAAGCGUGGGGAGCAAACAGGAUUAGAUACCCUGGUAGUC